UACAGGGGGUGCAAACGUUGCUCGGAAUUAUUGGGCGUAAAGAGCUCGUAGGCGGUUUGUCGCGUCUGCCGUGAAAGUCCGGGGCUCAACUCCGGAUCUGCGGUGGGUACGGGCAGACUAGAGUGAUGUAGGGGAGACUGGAAUUCCUGGUGUAGCGGUGAAAUGCGCAGAUAUCAGGAGGAACACCGGUGGCGAAGGCGGAUCUCUGGGCCUUACCUGACGCUGAGGCGCGAAAGCUAGGGGAGCAAACAGG
Molecule: ribosomal RNA, 253 nt
Filed under: uncultured bacterium
Lineage: Bacteria
Description: partial 16S ribosomal RNA
Rfam family: Bacterial small subunit ribosomal RNA
Source: RNAcentral